GACGAACGCUGGCGGCGUGCUUAGCACAUGCAAGUCGAACGGAAAGGCCCUGCUUUUGUGGGGUGCUCGAGUGGCGAACGGGUGAGUAACACGUGAGUAACCUGCCCUUGACUUUGGGAUAACUUCAGGAAACUGGGGCUAAUACCGGAUAGGAGCUCCUGCUGCAUGGUGGGGGCUGGAAAGUUUCGGCGGUUGGGGAUGGACUCGCGGCUUAUCAGCUUGCUGGUGGGGUAGUGGCUUACCAAGGCUUUGACGGGUAGCCGGCCUGAGAGGGUGACCGGCCACAUUGGGACUGAGAUACGGCCCAGACUCCUACGGGAGGCAGCAGUGGGGAAUAUUGCACAAUGGGCGGAAGCCUGAUGCAGCAACGCCGCGUGCGGGAUGACGGCCUUCGGGUUGUAAACCGCUUUCGCCUGUGACGAAGCGUGAGUGACGGUAAUGGGUAAAGAAGCACCGGCUAACUACGUG
RNAcentral lists this ribosomal RNA (468 nucleotides) under uncultured bacterium. RNAcentral's name for it is "partial 16S ribosomal RNA". It matches the Rfam family "Bacterial small subunit ribosomal RNA", at positions 28 to 507 of the family's 1533-position model. The record is from RNAcentral.